This 177-nucleotide unclassified non-coding RNA is filed under the name uncultured fungus. Its description in RNAcentral is "sequence contains ITS1". Lineage: Eukaryota; Fungi. The record is from RNAcentral.
UUGAUUGAUUCAUCAAGUACUCCGACGUACAGAUACAGAGUUGAAAUGGUCCACCGGGGACCCCGGCGCGGGGGCCGGGUCGCCCCCGAGGCAACAAGUGUUGGUCAACAAAGGGUUGGAGGUCGGGCCAGAGACCCUCACUCGGUAAUGAUCCCUCCGCAGGUUCACCUACGGAGA